RNAcentral lists this ribosomal RNA (459 nucleotides) under uncultured bacterium. RNAcentral describes it as "partial 16S ribosomal RNA". It matches the Rfam family "Bacterial small subunit ribosomal RNA", at positions 338 to 795 of the family's 1533-position model. The record is from RNAcentral.
CCUACGGGUGGCAGCAGUGAGGAAUAUUGGUCAAUGGCCGUAAGGCUGAACCAGCCAAGUCGCGUGAAGGAAGAAGGAUCUAUGGUUUGUAAACUUCUUUUAUAGGGGAAUAAAGGUAUCCACGCGUGGAUAUUUGCAUGUACCCUAUGAAUAAGCAUCGGCUAACUCCGUGCCAGCAGCCGCGGUAAUACGGAGGAUGCGAGCGUUAUCCGGAUUUAUGGGGUUGAAAGGGUGCGGAGGUUGUCUUUUAAGUCAGCGGUCAAAGCGUGGGGCUCACCCCCAUCCCGCCGUUGAAACUGGGGAUCUAGAGUGUGCGAGAGGUAUGCGGAAUGCGUGGUGUAGCGGUGAAAUGCAUAGAUAUCACGCAGAACCCCGAUUGCGAAGGCAGCAUACCGGUGCACAACUGACGCUGAGGCACGAAAGCGUGGGUAUCGAACAGGAUUAGAUACCCGUGUAGUC